UACGGAGGGUGCGAGCGUUAUCCGGAUUCACUGGGUUUAAAGGGUGCGUAGGUGGGAAUGUAAGUCAGUGGUGAAAUCUCUGAGCUUAACUCAGAAACUGCCAUUGAUACUAUGUUUCUUGAAUUUUCUGGAGGUCAGCGGAAUAUGUCAUGUAGCGGUGAAAUGCUUAGAUAUGACAUAGAACACCAAUUGCGAAGGCAGCUUGCUAAACAAACAUUGACGCUGAGGCACGAAAGCGUGGGGAUCAAACAGG
This 253-nucleotide ribosomal RNA is filed under the name uncultured bacterium. RNAcentral describes it as "partial 16S ribosomal RNA". It matches the Rfam family "Bacterial small subunit ribosomal RNA", at positions 524 to 776 of the family's 1533-position model. The record is from RNAcentral.